AGAGUUUGAUCCUGGCUCAAACGAACGCUGGCGGCGUGGAUAAGACAUGCAAGUCGAGCGAGAUUUUUUCCUGUAGCAAUACAGGGAAAAGUCUAGCGGCGAACGGGUGCUUAACACGUGGGCAACCUGCCGAGAAGUGGGGGAUAGCUCGCCGAAAGGCGAAUUAAUACCGCAUGUGAUUAGAGAGGACAUCCUUUCGAAAUUAAAGUCGGGGCAACCUGACGCUUUUUGUGGGGCCCGCGGCCUAUCAGCUAGUUGGUGAGGUAACGGCUCACCAAGGCUUUGACGGGUAGCUGGUCUGAGAGGACGACCAGCCACACUGGGACUGAGACACGGCCCAGACACCUACGGGUGGCAGCAGUCGAGAAUUUUUCUCAAUGGGGGAAACCCUGAAGGAGCGACGCCGCGUGGAGGAUGAAGGUCUUCGGAUUGUAAACUUCUGUCAUUGGGGAACAAGGUGCAUACGUUAACUGCGUGUGUAUUGAUAGUACCCGAAGAGGAAGAGACGGCUAACUCUGUGCCAGCAGCCGCGGUAAUACAGAGGUCUCAAGCGUUGUUCGGAUUCAUUGGGCGUAAAGGGUGCGUAGGCGGCGCGGUAAGUCGGGUGUGAAAUCUUGGAGCUUAACUCCGAAACUGCAUUCGAUACUGCCGUGCUUGAGGACUGGAGAGGAGACUGGAAUUUACGGUGUAGCGGUGAAAUGCGUAGAUAUCGUAAGGAAGACCAGUGGCGAAGGCGGGUCUCUGGACAGUUCCUGACGCUGAGCACGAAGGCCAGGGGAGCAAACGGGAUUAGAUACCCCGGUAGUCC
This 808-nucleotide ribosomal RNA is filed under the name uncultured bacterium. RNAcentral's name for it is "bacterial SSU rRNA". It matches the Rfam family "Bacterial small subunit ribosomal RNA", at positions 8 to 796 of the family's 1533-position model. The record is from RNAcentral.